AAAUUUCAAACAUUGCCAUCAGUCCCACAAAAUACCUUCCAACCGACACUGAGCUAUCACAUGGCCGCAUGCUGCACGGGUCUAAACAAGAUUUUGAAUUUCAAGCCGCUUCAUUAAGUGAUCUGUAUAUUCUCCUUCACACGUUGUAACUCCUAGAACAAUAUCCAGCAUAAUUUUCAUUGCAGCCAAAAAAACAAGGGAUCCAACAUAUUUGUGCUUAACUCCUACCGGGAUUGUUAGCAAAGCUCUUGCCGCAUUUAAUACCUAGUUUCAAGUUGAUAAAUAGAGUUUUAGACUUACCGAUCGGAGACCCUCCGAUGGUUCUUCAAUGGCGGCGCAAAUUCAAUACGCAUGAAUAAGCAUGGUCAAGAAUGGAGUAUGAAUGAAGACCAUUGAAGAGGUUGGAAUUAUUUUUAUUCUUUUGUGUAUGACUAUUAUGUAUUAUGCUUGUAAUGGCAUAAGGUGAUGUGAAGUGAAGUCAUGUAAAUGUAGAAAUGAUAUUUAGUGACUUUUGAAUUUUAUGUACAUGGAUUGAAAUACCAUGAAUAAAAAAAGGGGAAUUAUAGC
This is a long non-coding RNA of Lathyrus oleraceus (garden pea), 567 nucleotides long. RefSeq lists it as uncharacterized. The transcript is spliced from 3 exons. The record is from RefSeq and is a predicted model, not a curated record. NCBI's taxonomy places the organism in Eukaryota, Viridiplantae, Streptophyta, Magnoliopsida, Fabales, Fabaceae.